This 706-nucleotide ribosomal RNA is filed under the name uncultured archaeon. RNAcentral's name for it is "bacterial SSU rRNA". It matches the Rfam family "Archaeal small subunit ribosomal RNA", at positions 57 to 763 of the family's 1478-position model. The record is from RNAcentral.
GGGGACCUUCCUUCGGGAAGGUAACCCGGCAGACGGCUCAGUAACACGUGGACAAUUUACCCUUGGGACCGGGAUAACCCCUGGGAAACUGGGGCUAAUACUGGAUAGAGCAUCGGCUGCUGGAAUGCGCGAUGUUCGAAAGCUGAGGCGCCCAAGGAUAGGUCUGCGGCUGAUUAGGUUGUUGUUGAUGUAACGGAUCAACAAGCCCGCGAUCGGUACGGGUUGUGAGAGCAAUAGCCCGGAGAUGGGUUCUGAGAGAAGAACCCAGGUCCUACGGGACGCAUCAGGCGCGAAAACUUUACAAUGUGCGAAAGCGCGAUAAGGGAACUCUGAGUGCCUCCUAAGGAGGCUGUUCAGGUGUCUAAAAAGCAUCUGGAGUAAGGGCUGGGUAAGACCGGUGCCAGCCGCCGCGGUAACACCGGCAGCUCAAGUGGUAGCCAUGCUUAUUGGGUCUAAAGCGUCCGUAGCCGGCUGAGUAAGUUCCUUGGGAAAUUUGACCGCUUAACGGUUAAGCUAUCAGGGAAUACUGCUUGGCUUGGGACCGGGAGAGGUCAGAGGUACUCCAGGGGUAGGGGUGAAAUCUAUUAAUCCUUGGGGGACCACCGGUAGCGAAGGCGUCUGACCAGACCGGGUCCGACGGUGAGGGACGAAGGCUGGGGUCGCGAACCGGAUUAGAUACCCGGGUAGUCCCAGCUGUAAACGAUGC